RNAcentral lists this long non-coding RNA (209 nucleotides) under Glycine max (soybean). RNAcentral describes it as "long non-coding RNA (GMAX_LNC003076)". The record is from RNAcentral. Lineage: Eukaryota; Viridiplantae; Streptophyta; Magnoliopsida; Fabales; Fabaceae.
ACCUUCCUCUAAAAAGGGUUUAAUAUUGAAUAUUGAUAAAAAAAAAAAAAAUCACCUUCCUCUAAACCCCAAAACAUUCUCAGCUUCCUUGGCUAACUACUACAUUCUCAGUACCUGAUCAUGCACAACCGGCCUCCCACCUAGAUUCCUAGAAAGGGGAAGAAAGUGUGGCAACAUAGGCGUGAAACAAUAACGUGGCUAUAAAAACC